GUUGACCUCGGAUCAGGUAGGAAUACCCGCUGAACUUAAGCAUAUCAAUAAGCGGAGGAAAAGAA
Molecule: ribosomal RNA, 65 nt
Filed under: Colletotrichum acutatum
Lineage: Eukaryota; Fungi; Ascomycota; Sordariomycetes; Glomerellales; Glomerellaceae
Also listed under: 4 other names
Description: partial 28S ribosomal RNA
Rfam family: Eukaryotic large subunit ribosomal RNA
Source: RNAcentral